GCCGGGCGUGGUGGCGCAUGUCUAUAAUCCCAGCUACUUGGGAGGCUGAGGCAGAAGAAUUGCUGGAACCCAGGAGGCAGAGGCUGCAGUGAGCCAAGAUCAUGCCACUGUACUUCAGCCUGGGUGACACAGCAAGACUCUGUCUCAA
RNAcentral lists this signal recognition particle RNA (148 nucleotides) under Gorilla gorilla gorilla (western lowland gorilla). Its description in RNAcentral is "Metazoan signal recognition particle RNA". It matches the Rfam family "Metazoan signal recognition particle RNA". Rfam says of the family: The signal recognition particle (SRP) is a universally conserved ribonucleoprotein. It is involved in the co-translational targeting of proteins to membranes. The eukaryotic SRP consists of a 300-nucleotide 7S RNA and six proteins: SRPs 72, 68, 54, 19, 14, and 9. Lineage: Eukaryota; Metazoa; Chordata; Mammalia; Primates; Hominidae. The record is from Rfam by way of RNAcentral.